RNAcentral lists this ribosomal RNA (492 nucleotides) under uncultured bacterium. RNAcentral describes it as "partial 16S ribosomal RNA". It matches the Rfam family "Bacterial small subunit ribosomal RNA", at positions 29 to 507 of the family's 1533-position model. The record is from RNAcentral.
AGUGAACGCCGGCGGUAGGCCUAACACAUGCAAGUCGAACGGCAGCACAGUAAGAGCUUGCUCUUACGGGUGGCGAGUGGCGGACGAGUGAGGAAUACAUCGGAAUCUACUUUUUCGUGGGGGAUAACGUAGGGAAACUUACGCUAAUACCGCAUACGACCUACGGGUGAAAGCAGGGGAUCUUCGGACCUUGCGCGAUUGAAUGAGCCGAUGUCGGAUUAGCUAGUUGGCGGGGUAAAGGCCCACCAAGGCGACGAUCCGUAGCUGGUCUGAGAGGAUGAUCAGCCACACUGGAACUGAGACACGGUCCAGACUCCUACGGGAGGCAGCAGUGGGGAAUAUUGGACAAUGGGCGCAAGCCUGAUCCAGCCAUACCGCGUGGGUGAAGAAGGCCUUCGGGUUGUAAAGCCCUUUUGUUGGGAAAGAAAAGCAGCAGGUUAAUACCCCGCUGUUCUGACGGUACCCAAAGAAUAAGCACCGGCUAACUUCGUG